CAGGAGGCAUUGGAGAUUGUGACAACUCUAAAUAACAGUAUUCCGAUGGUGAGGAGAGUGGUUACAAGUGAUGUACUGAACAUAAAAGAUGACUCACCGUUCACACUUAUAACGGAAAAUCUUAGCUGGCCAAUCCUAGAAUUCACAGAGUGAUUUUAUCAACGCUUGUGAAAAUAGUCGCGUCCUCGCUGUGUUAUCAACGUAAACGGAGGUUGGACUUCAUACGGCUCAUGGUCUUCUUGCUCAAAGACUUGCGGAUCGGGAACACAAACAAGAAGCAGAACUUGUACAAAAUACAAAUCCUUCUCCUGCACACGGAGGUGCUAGUUGUUCGGGAACAUCUUCGGAGUCUCAGAGUUGCAACACCCAAAGCU
This is a long non-coding RNA of Bolinopsis microptera, 374 nucleotides long. RefSeq lists it as uncharacterized. NCBI's taxonomy places the organism in Eukaryota, Metazoa, Ctenophora, Tentaculata, Lobata, Bolinopsidae. The transcript has 3 exons. The record is from RefSeq and is a predicted model, not a curated record.